RNAcentral lists this ribosomal RNA (405 nucleotides) under uncultured bacterium. Its description in RNAcentral is "partial 16S ribosomal RNA". It matches the Rfam family "Bacterial small subunit ribosomal RNA", at positions 29 to 525 of the family's 1533-position model. The record is from RNAcentral.
AUUGAACGCUGGCGGCAGGCCUAACACAUGCAAGUCGAACGAGUGGCGGACGGGUGAGUCAUGUCUGGGAAACUGCCUGAUGGAUGGGGAUAACUACUGGAAACGGUAGCUAAUACCGCAUACCAGCGGAUUUGACCAGAUGGGAUUAGCCAGUAGGUGGGGUAAAGGCUAACCUAGGCGACGAUCCCCAGCGGGUCUGAGAGGAUGACCAGCCACACUGGAACUGAGACACGGGCCAGACCCCUACUGGAGGCAGCAGUGGGGAAUAUUGCGCAAUGGGCGCAAGCCUGAUGCAGCCAUGCCGCGUGUAUGAAGAAGGCCUGCGGGUUGUAAAGUACUUUCAGCGGGGAGGCGUUACCCGCAGAAGAAGCACCGGCGAACUCCGUGCCAGCAGCCGCGGUAAUC